This 77-nucleotide transfer RNA is filed under the name Rhodospirillaceae bacterium. RNAcentral describes it as "tRNA-Pro". It matches the Rfam family "tRNA". From Rfam's summary of the family: Transfer RNA (tRNA) molecules are approximately 80 nucleotides in length. Their secondary structure includes four short double-helical elements and three loops (D, anti-codon, and T loops). Lineage: Bacteria; Pseudomonadati; Pseudomonadota; Alphaproteobacteria; Rhodospirillales; Rhodospirillaceae. The record is from RNAcentral. RNAcentral also lists the same sequence under 2 other names.
CGGAGUAUGGCGCAGCCUGGUAGCGCACUUCACUGGGGGUGAAGGGGUCGCAGGUUCAAAUCCUGCUACUCCGACCA